GAUGAACGCUGGCGGCGUGCCUAAUACAUGCAAGUCGAGCGAACGGACGAGAAGCUUGCUUCUCUGAUGUUAGCGGCGGACGGGUGAGUAACACGUGGAUAACCUACCUAUAAGACUGGGAUAACUUCGGGAAACCGGAGCUAAUACCGGAUAAUAUUUUGAACCGCACGGUUCAAAAGUGAAAGACGGUCUUGCUGUCACUUAUAGAUGGAUCCGCGCUGCAUUAGCUAGUUGGUAAGGUAACGGCUUACCAAGGCAACGAUGCAUAGCCGACCUGAGAGGGUGAUCGGCCACACUGGAACUGAGACACGGUACAGACUCCUACGGGGGGCAGCAGUAGGGAAUCUUCCGCAAUGGGCGAAAGCCUGACGGAGCAACGCCGCGUGAGUGAUGAAGGUCUUCGGAUCGUAAAACUCUGUUAUUAGGGAAGAACAUAUGUGUAAGUAACUGUGCACAUCUUGACGGUACCUAAUCAGAAAGCCACGGCUAACUACGUG
RNAcentral lists this ribosomal RNA (497 nucleotides) under uncultured bacterium. RNAcentral describes it as "partial 16S ribosomal RNA". It matches the Rfam family "Bacterial small subunit ribosomal RNA", at positions 28 to 507 of the family's 1533-position model. The record is from RNAcentral.